Molecule: ribosomal RNA, 497 nt
Filed under: uncultured bacterium
Lineage: Bacteria
Description: partial 16S ribosomal RNA
Rfam family: Bacterial small subunit ribosomal RNA
Source: RNAcentral
GAUGAACGCUGGCGGCGUGCCUAAUACAUGCAAGUCGAGCGAACAGACGAGGAGCUUGCUCCUCUGAUGUUAGCGGCGGACGGGUGAGUAACACGUGGAUAACCUACCUAUAAGACCGGGAUAACUUCGGGAAACCGGAGCUAAUACCGGAUAACAUGUUGAACCGCAUGGUUCAACAGUGAAAGACGGUCUUGCUGUCACUUAUAGAUGGAUCCGCGCCGCAUUAGCUAGUUGGUAAGGUAACGGCUUACCAAGGCAACGAUGCGUAGCCGACCUGAGAGGGUGAUCGGCCACACUGGAACUGAGACACGGUCCAGACUCCUACGGGAGGCAGCAGUAGGGAAUCUUCCGCAAUGGGCGAAAGCCUGACGGAGCAACGCCGCGUGAGUGAAGAAGGUCUUCGGAUCGUAAAACUCUGUUAUUAGGGAAGAACAAAUGUGUAAGUAACUAUGCACGUCUUGACGGUACCUAAUCAGAAAGCCACGGCUAACUACGUG